This 6647-nucleotide long non-coding RNA is filed under the name Daucus carota (carrot). Its description in RNAcentral is "long non-coding RNA (DCAR_LNC003183)". Lineage: Eukaryota; Viridiplantae; Streptophyta; Magnoliopsida; Apiales; Apiaceae. The record is from RNAcentral.
UUAAAUCCACACAACACAAGCCACGGGGAGCUGAAUGGGAGAGAAACAAGUUCUUACUUUAAAAGGAAUCAAAGUGAUAAAUUACUUGUCCCGCAUUUAACAUUCUUGAAUCACAAAACCUACAUAUAAAUUGCCCCAUAUCUUAGAAACAUGACUAACCUCAACAAACCAUUGAUUCAGGACUCACAGCAUUCAUUCGCAGCUAAAACUUCACUAGCAGUCAACCUGCAUUUCCAAUCCUAUAUCAAACAAAGAUUUAGCAGAGAUACAUUUGUAUCCUGACAACACAAUUUCUUAAUUACUUUUAUAUCACAGAUUUACGGCAUAGGUUAAUAGAUGGCAGCUUUUGAAUAUCCCAACCAAGCACCUUGCAAAUGACUACCCAGCAGCAUGUUUUUUUGUUUUCCAGUUGUGUUAACCGUAAAAUGUUAAAUUUAACAGAAUGAGGUACUAUUCAAUACAAAGAUAAUGUUAGUGACUAAAAAAGGGCACGCUUAAGUUUACCACCGGUAAGCUUGGAAACAAGUAUAAUAGUUGAGUGAUAAAAAAUUGAUUUUCCUUACAAAUAUAAACUAUUUUUUAGAAAUUAAGCCUUGAUUUAUAGACUUUCUGGGUCUCUCAACAAGCCAUUGUUUCUGCGAGUAAACUCAAACAUAUUUUUGUUGUGUCCUGAACCUGAAACUAUGCAUGCUUGUUUGUAUAGGCGGUCUCUGGAUGAAUGAGGACACUUUUGUGGAAAAUUUACCAACGUAUCCGCUAUUUUCACAGAUUUUUUUUCCUGUCUCUGUUUUUAAAUACUUCACAUUCUAAGAGUUUUGACCGCAUACUUAAAAUUUUUUAUUUUAAUUUUUUUAAAUAAAAAUUUAUACUUUAAUACCAAAAAAAAUAAAAAUAUUAACUCUGGUUAUGUAUUCAAUGCACUUAAAAAUACUAUGUGCCCAAAGUCAAAGGUCAAGUAUUUAAAAACAUAGUGAGUAUAUUAGAGUUGAGAUUUGAAGACAUGUCUUAAUAUUAAUUUUAAAAUCAUCGAUCUACAUAUUAAUCCAGUUAAAUCCCCACAGUUUACUAUAUUUCUACUUUUUUAUAUUUUUUUGUCAAUUUUAUUUUAAAACUUUGUUAGUAAGACUUAAAUAAUAUAUCUCCUUUGUACGGUUAAUAGUAAAUUCAUUAAACUUUAAAAAUUAUAACUGCACUCAUUAUAAAACCAAGUUGAACAGAACUUACAUGAAUAUUGACUAGAUCUUCAAGCUUAUGUUUCCAUGUUACAACUUGUGUUUUUGACAAAUCACUAAAAUGUAACUAAACUACAAACUAUUACACAUGAUCAGCUAUUCUAAGACAUAUCAAGCUUCGUCUAGCAUCUUCGUUUCCUCUGCAGUGCCAUCAAUCUCUUCCUCUUCCACAUCUUCCGCAUCAUUUGGCCUUAUGUUCAUAUUUGCAAUGAUCAACCGACAUUUCUCGGCCAAUCUUCUCGGCUAUUUUUUUGUAGUUUUUCCAUAUAUCAGAUACUCUAAAAUAUUUUUAUUCUUAUUUAAUUUGGUCGGUUACUUUUCUGUAACUCUCCUGCCCAUUGUUAUAUAUAGCUUAUAGCCAGAAUUACUUUACAUCCAACACAACUCAGGAUUUCAGCCAUUUCAGUUUUCAAAACCACAAUCCAGAGAUUUUUCGGUGAGAAAUUCAGAGAAGAAACCAAGAUGACUACGGAAAUGUGGACGAGUUUUGGGUCUCUGCUCGCCAGCCUCAUGUUCAUAUUUGCCAUGAUCAACCAACACUUCUCGGGCAAUCUUCUCGGCUAUUUUCUGUAGCCGCUCAUCCAGAAAUCUUUGUCGUAUUUCAACCCGUACAUCGAGAUCACGUUCCAUGAGUAUUCCCGGGACAGCUUCGAUCGAAGCUUGGCUUACGUCUCGAUUGAGCGUUAUCUGGCUGUCAAGUCUUCGGCGACAGCCACGAGACUCAAGGCCAACUCGGUCCGAGACAGCGAACGCCUGGUGCUCAGUAUGGACGACUACGAAGAGAUCGUGGACGAAUAUCAAGGGAUCAACUUCCUCAUAGCCGCCGCCACCACCGCCCUUCUUCCCCUUCUUUUUCAUAUUUUUCGGUUUCGUCCCCUGAACACCAAGUGAGAGCCUAAUCAGCUUACUAUUCAAAUUACCAUGUCUCACACUCUCCGCGUUACUUUGUAAAUAUGGUUGCACAUUCGACACACGACCCGAAUAACCAGAACCAUUUGAAUCACAAUCCUCGAUGGAACCAUGAGACCUAUGAUCAUGGUUCAAGAUAGGAAUUGAUGGGUCAUUGUUCGGGUAAAGUGAACCGGGUCUGGGGUUGAAACCGGGUCUAUUGUUGAAACUAUUAGGGUUUGCAAUUGAACAAAUUGGGUGAACUGAAGGGGAGUUUGAAUUGAAAAUGGGGGGCUGGGGGAGACAAUUAGUGUUUAAAACAUGAUGAACUAGGUAAAUUGAAUGGGGAUUAGGAUUGAAAAUUGGGCGAUUGGGGAUGAAACUAGGGUUUAUAAUUUGGGGAUUUGGGUUUUGAGUAGGGUGUUGAAGAGGAGGGUCUUGACGAGGGAGAGAAUGGAGGUGCCUCAUGUCAUGAUUUAGAAGAUGAAGAUUAGUUGUUUUCUUCGAUAAGCUUAAGUUUUUUGAUUGAUUUUUUCUGAAACUGUGCAUGCUUGUUUAUAUAGGUGGCGAGGGAGAUGAACCUGGACAGUUUUAGAAAUUACAUUUAAUAUGAUAUGAUAUCUUCGAGAUUUUUGGCUCAAGAUAUUAUAUUCGAUUCAGAUUUUAUAUAAAAUCUUGGAGAUAUUAGUAGUCUCUUUGUUUAAAUUUAUGGGGGUGUAUUCGAUUGGGAUUUUAAUGGAUUGUUUUUAGUCUAUGGAUUUUAAUGGAUUGUAUGGGAUUUUCAUUUUGUGUGUAUUUUUGAUAAAAUGUCGCAGAGUUGAUAGGAUUUAGGUACAAUGCUUCAAAAUCCCAUUGAUUUUGGUGGGAUUUCAAAAAACUUAAAAUACACUGAAGAAUGCUACAAAAUCCAUUAUUUUAUGAAAUAAUAAAAAAUCCAUCAGCAUUUGAAUACCAUCAGAUUUUAAUGGAUUUUAAACAAUCCCAAUUGAAUACCAUCGGAUUUUAAAGCAUAAUUUAAAAUCCAAUUGAAUACCACCAGAUUUUGUAGCAUAAUUCAAAAUCCCAAUUGAAUACCUCAAAAUUUUAAUGCAUUUCAAACAAUUCUAAUCGAAUACUCUCGGAUUUCAUGAAUGCAAAAAAAUGCUUUAAAAUCUCAAUCCAAUACAUCCCUCCUAAAGCUGGGUUUAAAGAUGAAAAAUAUAUGUUUGUAAAAGCAAAAAUAAGUUAGAAACGGUUAUUUAAAUUUGACUUUGUUAAAUCACUAAAUUUUGAAAAGUCUUUUUUUGUAUUUCUGAACAAAUUUAAAAAUAUUUAUUUUAAUAUAUUAUAUUUCAUAAUUCUCUUCAAAUUAAAAGGGAUAAUAUAAAUUUUGUAUAUUUGUUUACGGAACAUGAUGCGACAUGUGUGACAUACUUGAUGUAUGACGUGUUACAUGGGCGAUGGGCUGCAUAAAUUUUUGUUUGGGCCUCGUCUAAAUCAAAACGGACUAAAUCUUCGUUUUUCUAUAAUUCGGAAAUUCAUUAAGAGCCAUAGUUCAAUACAAAGCAACGACACCAUAUCCACCUAGUAGUCUAGUACCAGUGCGGAAGGCCACUUACAAAAGACCCCUGCCUAAAUACAAAAGACUGGACAAUUUCCAUUGGCUAGAAACAAAAUGCAGUGAGAAAAGAGAACUGCAUAACCUGAACUUAACUAGCUAGAAUUGAACUGAUACUAAGAACUAGGAUUUGUUGCCCAUGCUAGAAUUGAACUGAUACUAAGAACUAGGAUUUGUUGCCCGCUUCGCAUGGUUGCCUCUGAUAAUUUUAUUUUCUUAUAUUAAUUACAUGAAAAAGAGAUGUAUAUUACAACAAAGGGUCUUUUUUAUGGUAAGCAAUGGCGAUGCAGUUUUGACUUUAAUGUUUGUCGUAACAAAUGUAUUCACUCUCAUAUUUAAUCUAUUGUGUAGUUCGAUACUAUUUGUUAUCAUAAUGAUCCGAAUAUAAUGUUAAAUUAAAUUUGAAUAAAAUAUGAUCGGCUAUACUUAUAUACUCGUUGAAUAUGAUCAAUGGUACAAAAUACUUGAUUAUAUAUAUCGAAUUAUUAUUAUUAUUUAUAUAAAUUUGUACAAUAAUAUUUUAUGAAAAUAUUAUCUUACAAUUAUGAAUAUGAUAUAAUUUCCAAAAUUAAAAAUUCAAUAUAAAUAUCUUCGUGUAACGUAAUACAUUUCGUGUAACAUAAUACAGUAUUCAUAAUAUACAUAAUUUGACAUGUACUAAACUUAUAUAAAAUAUAAUAGUGAAUUAUUUGUAAAAUAUAUUACAAUGAUAUUUGUAAAAUAAGAAUUUAUUCAGCUGUUAAAUAUAAUUUUUAUUUAAUAAUAUUAUUCUAUUAUAAUUUUAUUUUCAAAAUAAAAUUAGUUGAAUUUAAAAUACAUACAGUAAAAUAAGAAAUAUUAUAACCGGCCACGGGUAAUAAGCUAGUAUUAAUAAUACUGAUAAAAAUAAAUUUUACUUAUAAAUAACUUUUACGGAUAAUAGUAAAUAUUUUUUAAAUUAAAUCAUUUUACAAACCUAAAUCAUUUGCAAAUCAUUUUACAGUUCACGUGCAGUGUAAACAUGGCUGUGUCUCACUUUUUCAACAAACCUGUAAGAAAGAAAGGAAUGAACGGAGGAGCUGACACGUGCAGUAUACGGUAUUCAUUAGUACAGCAGUGGCAAGCUUUGUAAAUACGGCCCCAUUCAGGAGGACCUAUUAGUAAUUAACCUGUUAAAAAGCCUUCAGGCUUUAUAUACUACGGUGAUACAUUAUUAAUUGAAUUUAUGCACUGUACCCUAGUUUUUUCUUAGAAUGGAAACUUCGGCAAUGUCAAGAGGAAGAGCUGUGAUGGUUAUCAGCAAGAGAGGUUGCAGUAAACCACUCAGGGGAAAUAGUGAAUAAUUCUUGUCUAUAAAAUUGUAUAUACAAAAAGUACUAAGGUUUACAUUAAACAACUUAUAAAAUUAAAAAUGGGAUAUCAGGACACUCUUCGAACUUUUAAACUAUACUGGAUUACUAGAAAAAAUCCCAUCAGGUGAACACAACAAUUCUGCAGAUAACUACCACUCCAGUAGGACGAGUACCAGAGCCUCUCAUGCAAAGCUGACCCAAACAAAAAGGUUCGAGACUCGGGCUGAAAAUUCAUUUAGACUUGCAAACUUCAGAGACGAGCUCAAAUUCUUCAUUAAAGAUGUUUAUGAAUCCAUUUUACUAACCUAACCGUCAAUUUAAAUCACCCUUAUAUUCCUUUUUUAACUUUGUCAGUUUUAUUCAAAAUUAGAAGAAAAUAAAUAAAUGAUUCGUUAAAUAUGUUUUAUCCAAUACACCUUUUUAACUUUGUUAGUUAUAUUCAAAAUUAGAAGAAAAUAAAUAAAUGAUUCGUUAAAUAUGUUUUAUCCAAUACACAUCUUGUUCUGCUAGCUUAGCGAUCACAUUUAAAGAAUAAAAAUUACUGCAUAUGACUCGUGCAACAGAUUAUCAAACUGACUUGUGCACAAAAUCAGAGCACAUAUUAACUGUUCCAGGUUAUAGGCAAAUAACCUUUGAGCCUUGGUUGCAAGGUACGACUUGUGUUUCGGACAGAAUGAGCAUCUUCUGGCAGAUAUAUAUCAAGCUUCGUGAUUUGAUCUUCUAGUGCACAUCAAGCUUUGUCUAGCAUCUUCAUUAGCAAAUCUCUUCAUUCUUCCUAUCUGUAAGAUUCCUCCACCAGCCAUAACCCAAAAUUUAAUAUUAAGAUAUCAUACUUAUUGUAAUCAAAAUAUCUUCUGCCUAUGUAAUUAAAAUAGGAAAAAUAUCAACGAUAGAAGUUACAAGCAAAAGGUCAAAAGCUUCCGGCAAUGGCAAACAGAAAUAUAAAGAACAAAAUUCAGACAUGCGUGCAUCAUCAAGAUUCUGUAUGUUCUCAACAUAAUGCAUCUACAAAUUAGUCCGUCCCUAUUUACUUGUCACUUUGACUUUUUCACGUAACUUAAGGUGAUUAAAAAACAUAAUUCCGCUCAUUAUUUUUAAAAUUUUCCUUUUGUGAAUGAAAAUAUAAACUAUAAACUUUAAUUCAGAAAAAGAAAAUUUUAAAAAUAAUAAGUAGAAGUAUGUUUUUUAAUCAACUUAAAUUACGUGCAAAAAGUCAGAGUGACAAGUAAAAAGGGACGGAGGACGGAGGUAGUACUUAAAUCCACACAACACAAGCCACAGGGAGCUGAAUGGGAGAGAAACAAGUUCUUACUUUAUAAGGAAUCUGAGGGAUAAAUUACUUGUCCCGCAUUUAACGUUCUUGAAUUAUAAAACCUAUAUAUAAAUUGCCCCAUAUCUUAGAAACGUGACUAACCUCAACAAACCAUUGAUUCUCACAGCAGUCGCAACUAAAACUUCACUGGCAGUGUUGGUCUUAUUUUGGGCCAUCAACCUGCAUUUCCAAUCCUAUAUCAAACAAAGAUACAGCAGAAUUACAUUUGUAUCCCGACAACACAAUUUCUUAAUUACCUUUAUAUCACAGAUUUACGGCAGGUUAAU